RNAcentral lists this non-coding RNA (23 nucleotides) under Cricetulus griseus (Chinese hamster). Lineage: Eukaryota; Metazoa; Chordata; Mammalia; Rodentia; Cricetidae. The record is from RNAcentral.
UACUGAACAGUCAUGAGGAAAAU